GCUAAAAGUUUGUGUUUUUCUGUUUUAGGUGGUCUGAGUUUUCAUGAGUUUCCUAGGCUAACUACCCCAGGCAUGGUAUGUUAAUAUACUGUCUUUAUCAUAUGGUAACAAGAGUUUUAUUUAGUCUUUUUUAAGAAGUUUUUUUUUUGUUAUUUUUGCAUUUAGAUUGCACAAGACUUGUACACAUUACACCAGGAUGCAGCUCCAAAACUCUUAGAGAAAUGGCUCCCUUGAUAUACCGAUAGGAUCUUGCAUUUUUCUAAACCAGAAGCAAAGCUUCCAUGUUCAGUUGAGGAGAUGACACAAGAUGCAAAGGGAUAUCUUGCAUUAAAGCUGCUCCCUGUUUUGCUUCCACCUCCACCCUUCAAAACUGCCAGAAAAAGUCCGGGCCAGAAUUGAUGAUGGCAAAAAAGCUUUCAUCGACAUUCAGCCUGUUGGAACAAAUAUGAUGGAGUACCUCCAGCAGGCUGAAGCAUCAGGACUUUACCCUUAUUUCCUGUCACUUGAAAAUGGACACGAGAAAAUGAGUCCCAGGCAUUCGUCAUCCUUGGAGGAGAAACUUUGGACAAGGCACUUAGAUUGGGGUAGUAGAAGCACUACAUUCUUGCAAGUAAAUGACAAGAGGUUUUUUGAAUAGACUGGGUUUCAGGUACAAGAGUUAUCAUUUUAGUUUUUUUUACAGACUUAAAGGUGCUCUAACCGAAUCUGUGUGACGUUACUUUUUGUUGAUGUUUGAACUGUUUUCAAACAAACGGAGCAUAGCUAACUCCUCCCCUCCCUUCCGUGCUUUCAUGAACGCGCCCAACCCUCACCCCCAAAUCCUUCUUGUCGUUAAUUGGCUGGAACACUUUGUUAUCCUUUCUGAUGGUAGGUUUGGCCACUUUAUUUUUAUUGCAGUUUGUGGAGCCUGGGCUGUCUACAGAGAUCGCGUUUUUACAGUUUGAUCAGCAGACAGGCAGCAAGCAGAUAGUGAGGAGAUGUUUGCUGUAUGUAACAAAAAAUGUUUUAUGGUCUAAAACACGUGAAUUCGCUUAGAGCACCUUUAAGGAAGAGUAUUACUUGCUGAAUAUUAAUGACAUGUUUAUGAAAUGUUACACUGGCAAAAUGCUGUAUUUCAUAGUUUUUUUGUGUGUGUUCAAAAUGUAGACUAAAACAAUACUGCUUUGUAACAAACAGUUGUUCUUAAAGGUAUUUUAUGAAUUUCAUGAAUUUUUUUAAAAUGUUAAAACAUAUAGGGGCGGUUUCACAGACAAGGAUAAGACUAGUCCUAGACUAAAGUAAAUGUAAGAGCUGUCCAAACUGAAAACUACUUGCACUGACAUAUCUUAAAAUUCAUCAAUGCCCUUUGUUUUCCCUCAAAAUGUUUUCCACCCCUUACACUUUUGCAAUUAGAGGCAAGUGAAGAAAUUGUUUAAAAAUGGAAUUUUAUUAUUUAUUGUAUUUAUAGUUUUGUAUGAUCUCCUGAAUUUUUGAUUGAGCUAUUGUGUACAAAGUGUACGUUACACACAUUGAAUUUGUUACAUUACACAAAGUGUAAUAUGCUAAAAAAUAUUAAUGAAAAAUAAAGUUAAUACAAUGUUGACCUGUUUGUUUAUCUUGUGGUUUUUAAUUUUAAAUGAUAAUCUUAAAAGGAAUAAAAAUAACCCUAUAUACAUUUUUAACCCAUUUAUGAAGUCAA
Molecule: long non-coding RNA, 1678 nt
Organism: Misgurnus anguillicaudatus (oriental weatherfish)
Lineage: Eukaryota; Metazoa; Chordata; Actinopteri; Cypriniformes; Cobitidae
Source: RefSeq, a predicted model, not a curated record